UGAAUCAAACUGUGGUUGCUGAUUUGUCA
This 29-nucleotide non-coding RNA is filed under the name Rattus norvegicus (Norway rat). The record is from RNAcentral. Lineage: Eukaryota; Metazoa; Chordata; Mammalia; Rodentia; Muridae.